GCAGUGGGGAAUAUUGGACAAUGGGCGAAAGCCUGAUCCAGCCAUGCCGCGUGUGUGAAGAAGGUCUUCGGAUUGUAAAGCACUUUAAGUUGGGAGGAAGGGCAGCUAAUUAAUACUUCGCUGUUUUGACGUUACCGACAGAAUAAGCACCGGCUAACUCUGUGCCAGCAGCCGCGGUAAUACAGAGGGUGCAAGCGUUAAUCGGAAUUACUGGGCGUAAAGCGCGCGUAGGUGGUUUGUUAAGUUGAAUGUGAAAUCCCCGGGCUCAACCUGGGAACUGCAUCCAAAACUGGCAAGCUAGAGUAUGGUAGAGGGUGGUGGAAUUUCCUGUGUAGCGGUGAAAUGCGUAGAUAUAGGAAGGAACACCAGUGGCGAAGGCGACCACCUGGACUGAUACUGACACUGAGGUGCGAAAGCGUGGGGAGCAAACAGGAUUAGA
RNAcentral lists this ribosomal RNA (439 nucleotides) under uncultured bacterium. RNAcentral describes it as "bacterial SSU rRNA". It matches the Rfam family "Bacterial small subunit ribosomal RNA", at positions 351 to 782 of the family's 1533-position model. The record is from RNAcentral.